This is a long non-coding RNA of Brachypodium distachyon (stiff brome), 692 nucleotides long. RefSeq lists it as uncharacterized. The transcript has 3 exons. Lineage: Eukaryota; Viridiplantae; Streptophyta; Magnoliopsida; Poales; Poaceae. The record is from RefSeq and is a predicted model, not a curated record.
UCAUCUUUUUCCCCAACAAUUGGGGGCAAGCCAAGCCGAGGCCAUGGCGGGCGGGUGGGGUCGGCCGAAGGCACAGGCGGGCUCGGCCCGGUCGAGGGCGGCGGCACGACGGCGCGCACGGAGGAUCACGGUCGCCCGGCAGAUAGGAGCCGCGGUGGCGCAGAUCCGACCACGACGACGAACGAGGAGGAGCCGCGCAGGGAUCUCCAUGGUGGGGCGGCCACGAGGACGAGCGGGGGAGGAGCACGGCCACAGCCGGGAGCUGCAGACCGGCGACGGCGGCUGAGGGCGCAGCCGGUGGUGGAAGGGCCUCGCGGCGGCGAGGCAGAGCCCGGGACGGCGAGACCGGUGGAGGGGCAAUUUUGUUGGGUUAAAACACUUUGAUAUUUGCGAAUGGAAAUUAGAGCACGACAUUCAGCAAUAUGUAGUUCCAUUCCGCUACAAUGCUCUGCUUUUGGAAAAUGCACCUGGACAUUUUGACUAGUCGUGGUCAGCCAAAAUGACUUCAUCUGGAAGUGCUCAGGUUGCAGGGCACCGGGAGGUUGACUCCAGCGACUCACUGUCAUAUUGGCCAAUUCCACGGAGUUACAAUAACCAUGGAUCAAAUGUUUUUUUCGUUGGAGGACAGCACUGGGACACCAAUGGUUUAUCAUGCAACCCUGUCCGGUUAAUAGCUUCUUGUUGAAGGCAAG